Molecule: ribosomal RNA, 750 nt
Filed under: uncultured bacterium
Lineage: Bacteria
Description: bacterial SSU rRNA
Rfam family: Bacterial small subunit ribosomal RNA
Source: RNAcentral
GGGAAAGCAUAUACUGCAGUCGAACGAUGAAGCUUCUAGCUUGCUAGAAGUGGAUUAGUGGCGCACGGGUGAGUAAUGCCUAUGUUAUGUGCCCUUUAGUCUGGGAUAGCCACUGGAAACGGUGAUUAAUACUGGAUACUCCCUACGGGGGAAAGGGGCUUUCAAUAAAGAAUUUCUCUUUUUAGUGUUUUGUGUUGUUGGCACAAAAUUCUAGUAUUUGGAAUGAGAAAUUGAUGUUGUGAAGCAAUUUGUGCGGAGACUAGACUUAGUGUCUGUCGCACAAGCAAAUUGCGAACUCAUCGAUUUAUCGUCCAAAGACGAAUUUUUUAUUGAAAGCCUUCGCUAAAGGAUCAGCCUAUGUCCUAUCAGCUUGUUGGUGAGGUAAUGGCUCACCAAGGCUAUGACGGGUAUCCGGCCUGAGAGGGUGAUCGGACACACUGGAACUGAGACACGGUCCAGACUCCUACGGGAGGCAGCAGUAGGGAAUAUUGCUCAAUGGGGGAAACCCUGAAGCAGCAACGCCGCGUGGAGGAUGAAGGUUUUAGGAUUGUAAACUCCUUUUGUAAGAGAAGAUUAUGACGGUAUCUUACGAAUAAGCACCGGCUAACUCCGUGCCAGCAGCCGCGGUAAUACGGAGGGUGCAAGCGUUACUCGGAAUCACUGGGCGUAAAGAGCGCGUAGGCGGGUGGUCAAGUCAGAUGUGAAAUCCUGUAGCUUAACUACAGAACUGCAUUUGAAACUGAUCAUCUA